CUCGAGCUGUUCAUAAUACUGAAAAAAUAGAGCACCUUGCUCGAAUUGUGGCUCUCCAAAAUAUUCUUGCUAAGAAGAAUGUUGCUCUGGUAACAACUCGGGCUGAUCAUGAGGAUGAGAGAAUAAUGCUUCUUUCCAAAAUCAAUUCUCUGUAGGCUGACCUUGCUCGUGAAUGAGCUAAAAAUAUUGCAACUGAUCGCCAGCUGACCUAGUUGUUUCCUUUGUUCCUUC
Molecule: long non-coding RNA, 231 nt
Filed under: Capsicum annuum
Lineage: Eukaryota; Viridiplantae; Streptophyta; Magnoliopsida; Solanales; Solanaceae
Description: long non-coding RNA (CANN_LNC005522)
Source: RNAcentral